AGCAGCCGCGGUAAUUCCAGCUCCAAUAGCGUAUAUUAAAGUUGUUGCAGUUAAAAAGCUCGUAGUUGAAUUUCGGGAUUGGCGCAUCGGUCGUGCCUCACGGGGUAUGAACUGGUGCAGUCAAUUUCUCACCUUCUGGAGAACCGCGAUGUCCUUAAUUGGAUGCCGCGGGGAACCAGGACCUUUACUUUGAAAAAAUUAGAGUGUUUAAAGCAGGCAUUUUUGCUUGAAUACAUUAGCAUGGAAUAAUAAAAUAGGACGGCAUGGUUCUAUUUUGUUGGUUUCUAGGACCACCGUAAUGAUUAAUAGGGAUAGUUGGGGGCAUUAGUAUUCAAUUGUCAGAGGUGAAAUUCUUGGAUUUAUUGAAGACUAACUACUGCGAAAGCAUUUGCCAAGGAUGUUUUCAUUAAUCAAGAACGAAAGUUAGGGGAUCGAAGACGAUCAGAUACCGUCGUAGUCUUAACCAUAAACUAUGCCGACU
RNAcentral lists this ribosomal RNA (481 nucleotides) under uncultured Entrophospora. RNAcentral describes it as "SSU rRNA". It matches the Rfam family "Eukaryotic small subunit ribosomal RNA", at positions 569 to 1047 of the family's 1831-position model. Lineage: Eukaryota; Fungi; Glomeromycota; Glomeromycetes; Entrophosporales; Entrophosporaceae. The record is from RNAcentral.